UCUCUCCCCCAUUUCGCCCGUGUUCUUCCCCUUCACCCCCUCUCUCUCUCUCUCUCUCUCUCUCUCUCUCUCUCUCUCUCUCUUCUCCGUGCCGUGAGGGGGGCGAUUUUCCGACGAUUCGAUCGCAUCCGCCCCGGUGCUACAGGUCGCGGGGGAGAAGGGUGGUGCGGCGUUCAGGAGAGGGUGGAAGGAGUGUGGUGGAGAACGACCGGGAGGCGUUUUCCCCGGUAAUUUCCCGGGGCGAGACCAGCGUCGGUCGGCGGAUUGCGGGCUGUUGGGGCUUCUUCGGGAGCUGCAUGUCGGAGGACGGGGCGGUGGGUGCUUCGUGAAGCUUCCGUGGUCGUUGAUUCGAGCGCGGCGCGUGCAUCGGGGACUGCCCCGCGCCACCAAGGCAUACCUCGCGGUUGGGUAACCAUGAAUACUAUCGAGGAUGAUGAAGAGGUUGAAACAGGGAAUUUAGUGCAUCGGCGGCGUAGGAGCAAACCCGCAAGGCAUGAUGAAGGUCAAGGUGCUCAACUUCAGGGAACAGCUUUAUGCACCGUCGAGAACGUACUCCAGGCUACCAACGCCGAAGAAGCUGAACCUGUAGCUAAGCGUGGCCCCACAGGACAAGAUGUUGGAAGGAAUAGGGCCUCACCAGCUAGGUUAUUCAAACUCAACAAAGAGCUAUCUUCAGAUCAGGUAGCUUUGAUCAAGGCCAAGCAUUUCGGAGGUUUACUGAAUAUAGUCCGGAUUUUGCCUAGUGAGAUGAGCAAGUGGCUUGUGAGUACAUACAGCACAGAUACAAGGGAGUUGCUUAUACCAGAGAAUGGCAGUAUCGCGGUAACAGCUAACAGCGUUUAUAGGAACUUCAAGUUGCCCAAACAGGGGUGGCAAAGUGAUUUAUAAGAGGACCCAAGAAUCUGUAAAUUUUAUAUCAAAGGAGUAUGGUCUUGAGGGGGGGAAGUCACCUGAGAUCACCGACUGGUGCAAAAUGAUAAUUGCUAUGAAUGGGAAAGCUGACGACAAAUUUCUUCGGGCCUGGCUCAUUGCAGCAAUGAGUUGCUUAUUGUGUCCAACAACCAGCCUUCACGUCAGCCUGCGGUGUUACCCAAAUUUCAUCAACCUGGACGAUGUUGUCAAUAUCAAUUUCUGCGAGUUUGUAGCUGAUCAAAUCCAUGAAGCUUGCUUGAAGCUGGGAGACAAGAACUCAGCGAAAUGUUGCGUGUAUCAUUUGCUGCUAAGCAUCUUUUUUUCCCAAAAUCUUGCUUGUUUUUUAUAAUCUUGCUUUUUUAUCUAGCAGCAACGCUAUUUUUCAAAUUACUGCAUCUUUUUGCUUUUGUUUGGCAAGCAUUAUUCAUUUUUGUCUGCCAUGCUGCUCUGUGCAGAUAUUAUAUCUCGACUCACUUGACAUCGAUGAGGAUGUGAGCAACUGCCCUGUCCGUGCAGAGGCAUGGACAACUGAGCUCAUAAACAAAGUUGUCCAGCUAGAUAUGAAGCCAGACGGAGGGUAUGGAAAACUGAAGCUCAAAGCUAACCGUGGCGCUGCAACCGACACUGUUGUAGCUAAUAACAAUAGCUUGUUCAAGGGCUUGGCACACGCCGAAAAUUUUGUGUCCUCAAAGUUGCCUGCUACAUACAACCCCACUAAAAAAAAGGAAAAUUGCUUUAAUGUUGGAAGAGUUUUGCACAGACAUUUCACAUAAGCUGGGCAAGUUUGUCGAGGGUAUCGGCAAGCUACAUAAUGAAGAAAUGAAAGAAAGCAAUGAAGAAGCACCCAAAAAAAGAAGGCAACGAAAUCCAGCAGCUGCAAAAGUUGUGAAGAAGAAAAAAGCAACUCAGAACGAUGCUCAGCAGGGGCAAGACGCAACGACUGAUGUCAAAGAUACUGAAGAUGUGGAUGAGGAAAAAGAGCAAGACGACGACAACGACGAUGAGGUCGCCAGUGAUGGUUAUCACGGGCCUGACAGGGGCGAUGACGGUGAUGGUGGCCAAGUUAGUCAGGCUAAAAGCAAGGGCACAGGGCAGACUGACGCCAUUUUGGGCAGCUGGUUGAGGAAUUCAACAAAAACAAAGGGCGACAACGUUGGCAGUCCUUCCAAGACGACCCCUUCCAAGCCGACCCCUUCUAACGAGACACCUGGGAGAAAAAAGCAAGAGUCUAGCUCACUCUCUCAUGCAAUUGCAGAGCCCCACAGAGAGUUUUUGAACUCGGUUUUUGCUGAUCAACCAUCAGCGGUUGAGCAACCUUCGGAUCAGCUACAGAAGAUAUGCCCGGAAACCCAGCAAAACAAGCUAUUCAAUGAAUUUGUCACCAAGGACCCAUCUCCAGCUGAAUGCAAAGGCACAGAAGUUCAAGAGCCAGAAGCUAAGUGCAGAGUAGUAAUGCCUGUCAGCAAAGACAAGGGGAAAAGCGCAGCCAGACGUGCAUCAGCAAAAACAGUUAAAAUUGCUAGAAAGUUCAAGAAGAUAGCUUAUCAUACGGUUUUGACUCUCCCUGUUGUCGCAGUCACAGAAGGCAUCCCAAAUGCUGCAAAAGCAACUUCUGCUAAUACAAAUAAGGGAUCCCAAGUCCAUAAGGGAAUAGGAAGGGCUUCAACCGAAUCUGCAAACAACGAAUCACAAGUUGUUGAGGCAAUUGCAAUGAAGGGAGCAACCCAGAAUGUUGCAGCUGUGAACCUAGGCGGUCAAGGCGUUGACCUGAUGCAAAUUCCUCAAGCAAGGGUUAAUGAGCAAAUAGCAAGCACAGCCUCUGUUGAUUCUAAGAAGCAAGUUUCAGCGAUGUCGCAAGGCUGCCUUGCUGAUCAGGCAGCACCAGCACAAGAUGGUCUAAAAGGAGAAGAAGUGGCAUUUGUUGAAGGACGGUCACUUAUACGAGCUGCAGGGCCACCUGGCCAUCAACCUAGGAAACCUACCGAAAAUAUUUGUGCUCCACCGACACCUUCUGCAGUAGCCAUUGAUGCUUCUUGCGCAGGUCACAAUGCGAUUAAUCGGGCCAACUCAGCUGGAUCUGUCCACUCCGACCAUUUAUGUGGAAGCAACUUACCUUCCUAUCCAAUCCAGAAGAACAAGUCUCGCGAUUUUUUCAAUGGCAUGGAUUUUGCACCACCACCAUUUGACCUCGGGUUCGGUAGCCAACCUGAGCCACCACAGACUAUAGGUGGUCCAGCUAUCAGUGCUAAAGGAAUAGCAGUGGGCAAAUUUUCUCUGAAUAGUGGCACUGCUGCCUGUGCCUCUACAUCGCACGGACACACGGUCAUCGAUGAUGAAUGGGAUGAUGCUAUGGUCGUGGAAGCAUGCGCCUUGGCAGAUCGGAUCGACCGUGAAAGGGCAACGGGAGCAGUUACAGUGGACCAGGAAGCAGUUGUUGAUCUGAGCACACCACCUGAAGGCAAAGCUGUGCUAGGAUUAAUGAGUCUCCCCCGUACCAGAAGCAGUUCAGGUGCAAUUCCAAAGCCAAAAAUGGCAAACGCAAUAAUUGAUCUUUGUACACCACCACCACCAGCCAGGAGUAUUGAGGGGAAAGAGAAUUUUGGUAGCAUUUCUGCUAAAAGUAGUUCUAGCUCUGCACCACAACAGGGUCCCGAGCGGAGGGCUAUAAAACCCCCUGCUUGCAAAAGGCCUCCAUUUGUUGACAUUGAGUCGAAGGCAACCUACCAGUGUUCAAACGAUGUGAAAGAAGUUUAUGCAGCAGUUCUUGCCACUGGUAGGAGGAACACAAGGGCGAAAGUAACUGAUGAAAGAAGAUGGAUUGGUCAGGGAAUGAAAUAAAGAAAAAGUUUGCCAGGGACAACACACAUCUGGACCGCAUGGACAUGGUCAUGUUCCCUAUGUUGCAAUCUCUGGAUCCAAAGGAGCCUCAGGAUUCAAACCACUAUUGGCUCUUUAAUCUGAAAUUAGGGACAGGAGAUAUGAAAAAUUUUAUUCACUGAGGUCGCUUCACGACAAAAGCUUGAAUAAUUGUGCAAAUACUGUCGUGGCAUGCAUUACAUGCUUGUGGAAAGCACAUUAUGGCAAAUCAAAAGUGCAAGUUGACAAUUUCAGUUGGUAUGAUGGCGGGGGCUGAAGCAAGAAAAUUUACAUGACUGUGGCGUAUUCAUGCUCACAAACGAUGAUAUGUGGGACGGGAGGAACCCUCUCAACUAUUCACAGUCAAACAUAGCGAACAUAAGGAAGUUGCUCACCCAUGCUUGGCUCAACUCGAAGGAAAACGAAAUAGACUGGAAAAUAGUCCUAAAGAUCAAGGCAUAGGAACUGCUUUUUUGAAGAGAUUGAUUUGUACAUAUGGCAGAAAGCAAGGGAUGCAAAAUGAUGCAAUCAGGACCCAUCAUGCUUCUCUGAAGAGAUGGAUUUUCACUGGUAGUGUACUGUCAAGCUUGAAGUGUGAAUAUGAGAACCUGAGAAUAGCCUAAUGUUGAAAACUGUAGGGAUGGCUGAAGCUUUUUGUGCUUCAUGCUAACAUGCUAUGCUUGGGAUGUUGCUUUAUACAUACAACUAGCAACUAUUUGUGUCCUUUUUGUUGCUUUGUACAUACAACAGCACUGGAAUCAACCACCCCCAAACACCAUGAUGAAUACUGUUGUUUCCAUAUGCAAGUUUCACGGAACCUGUGUAGGGGAGUAAGAGUUUGCUUUCUA
This is an RNA transcript of Brachypodium distachyon (stiff brome), 4616 nucleotides long. RefSeq lists it as uncharacterized. NCBI's taxonomy places the organism in Eukaryota, Viridiplantae, Streptophyta, Magnoliopsida, Poales, Poaceae. The record is from RefSeq and is a predicted model, not a curated record. The transcript is spliced from 10 exons.